CGAGCAAGUCCUUAAAUAGAUAAAAAAAUUGGCCCAUAAGCCCAAUAUGCCAAUGCUCAAUGCCCUUACUUAGGGCAAGCAAGCGCCCAUGCGAGAAGACUGGCGCUCAAGGCCUCUCAAAGGGCAAGCAGGUGCUCUACGACAAGUCUGGAUAGUGCUCAGCCCCCCUCAAUGGGCAAGCAGGCUUGGGCGAAUGGCGUUGAGGGCCCCUGAAAGGGGCAAGCAAGUCUCCUGCAUGACAUGUAGCGCUGAGGGCCCCAGAAAAGGGCAACUAGACGC
RNAcentral lists this long non-coding RNA (279 nucleotides) under Vigna radiata. Its description in RNAcentral is "long non-coding RNA (VRAD_LNC011185)". Lineage: Eukaryota; Viridiplantae; Streptophyta; Magnoliopsida; Fabales; Fabaceae. The record is from RNAcentral.